This 359-nucleotide unclassified non-coding RNA is filed under the name uncultured fungus. RNAcentral describes it as "partial contains small subunit ribosomal RNA, internal transcribed spacer 1, and 5.8S ribosomal RNA". The stretch from base 1 to 137 matches the Rfam family "Eukaryotic small subunit ribosomal RNA", at positions 1759 to 1831 of the family's 1831-position model. Lineage: Eukaryota; Fungi. The record is from RNAcentral.
CCAAACUUGGUCAUUUAGAGGAAGUAAAAGUCGUAACAAGGUUUCCGUAGGUGAGUGAACCGAAGACGACCCCAAACUCUCGGAAGACAUUUGGAUGCUAACUGCCCAUCACAGGUGAACCUGCGGAAGGAUCAUUACCGAGUUACAGGUGCUCCGGCACCGAACUCCCACCCGUGUUUACAUGACUUGUUGCUUUGGCGAGCCGGUGGUCACGCCACCGCCGGCCAUCAGGCUGGAUAGCGCUCGCCGGAGAAUCAAAUCUCAAACUCUUGAAGAAACUGAAAUCUGAAAACUUUGGAAAACGAAUGAAAACUUUCAACAACGGAUCUCUUGGUUCCGGCAUCGAUGAAGAACGCAGC